RNAcentral lists this ribosomal RNA (253 nucleotides) under uncultured bacterium. RNAcentral describes it as "partial 16S ribosomal RNA". It matches the Rfam family "Bacterial small subunit ribosomal RNA", at positions 524 to 776 of the family's 1533-position model. The record is from RNAcentral.
UACGUAGGGGGCGAGCGUUGGCCGGAUUUAUUGGGCGUAAAGGGCUCGUAGGCGGUUUGUCACGUCGGGAGUGAAAACUCGGGGCUCAACCCCGAGCCUGCUUCCGAUACGGGCAGACUAGAGGUAUGCAGGGGAGAAUGGAAUUCCUGGUGUGGCGGUGAAAUGCGCAGAUAUCAGGAGGAACACCGGUGGCGAAGGCGGUUCUCUGGGCAUUACCUGACGCUGAGGAGCGAAAGUGUGGGGAGCGAACAGG